GGUUACUGCUAUCGGUGUUCGCCUAAGCCAUGCGAGUCAUAUGUUCUUCGGAACAUGGCGUACUGCUCAGUAACACGUGGAUAACCUGCCCUUGGGUCCGGCAUAACCCCGGGAAACUGGGGAUAAUUCCGGAUAACGCACAUAUGCUGGAAUGCUUUAUGCGUCAAAUGGAUUCGUCCGCCCAAGGAUGGGUCUGCGGCCUAUCAGGUAGUAGUGGGUGUAAUGUACCUACUAGCCUACGACGGGUACGGGUUGUGAGAGCAAGAGCCCGGAGAUGGAUUCUGAGACAUGAAUCCAGGCCCUACGGGGCGCAGCAGGCGCGAAAACUUUACAAUGCGGGAAACCGUGAUAAGGGGACACCGAGUGCCAGCAUCAUAUGCUGGCUGUCCGGGUGUGUAAAAUACACCUGUUAGCAAGGGCCGGGCAAGACCGGUGCCAGCCGCCGCGGUAACACCGGCGGCCCGAGUGGUGAUCGUGAUUAUUGGGUCUAAAGGGUCCGUAGCCGGUUUGGUCAGUCCUCCGGGAAAUCUGACGGCUUAACCGUUAGGCUUUCGGGGGAUACUGCCAGACUUGGAACCGGGAGAGGUAAGAGGUACUACAGGGGUAGGAGUGAAAUCUUGUAAUCCCUGUGGGACCACCUGUGGCGAAGGCGUCUUACCAGAACGGGUUCGACGGUGAGGGACGAAAGCUGGGGGCACGAACCGGAUUAGAUACCCGGGUAGUCCCAGCCGUAAACGAUGCUCGCUAGGUGUCAGGCAUGGCGCGACCGUGUCUGGUGCCGCAGGGAACCCGUGAAGCGAGCCACCUGGGAAGUACGGCCGCAAGGCUGAAACUUAA
This 837-nucleotide ribosomal RNA is filed under the name uncultured archaeon. RNAcentral's name for it is "bacterial SSU rRNA". It matches the Rfam family "Archaeal small subunit ribosomal RNA", at positions 21 to 859 of the family's 1478-position model. The record is from RNAcentral.